CAAAAUGUAGCUUAACAAAAGCCUCUCGCUUACACCGAGAAAAUGUCCGUUUAACCCGAACCGUUUUG
This 68-nucleotide transfer RNA is filed under the name Aquarana catesbeiana (American bullfrog). RNAcentral's name for it is "Lithobates catesbeianus (American bullfrog) tRNA-Val". It matches the Rfam family "tRNA". Rfam says of the family: Transfer RNA (tRNA) molecules are approximately 80 nucleotides in length. Their secondary structure includes four short double-helical elements and three loops (D, anti-codon, and T loops). Lineage: Eukaryota; Metazoa; Chordata; Amphibia; Anura; Ranidae. The record is from RNAcentral.